AUGGAUGAGAUAUGCUUCUAUGGUCACGUAAACUUCACCGCCAAAAGCAGCUUGGAGAAUUCAAAGGAGGAGUUAUUGUUCGCGGAGGUAUAUUACGACCACGCCCGCGAUACAUGGAUACCCACCUGCAUAGUUUCUCUCCAAGGGGAAAAAGGAGUUGGUGGGGUUAAGGGCAAGGACAUUUGUGGUCCCUAUCGUGGCAUGGAGAUUCGUGUCGACACUCAGCAUUGCUACGCCUGUCUAGAAGCCGUGAAGCACCCGGAGGAUGGGACAUUGUAUGAGACCGGUCAUUACGUGGAUAGUUGCUAUGGCUAUUUGUUGUAG
RNAcentral lists this ribosomal RNA (324 nucleotides) under Triticum aestivum (bread wheat). RNAcentral describes it as "partial small subunit ribosomal RNA". Lineage: Eukaryota; Viridiplantae; Streptophyta; Magnoliopsida; Poales; Poaceae. The record is from RNAcentral.